ACUGUGAAACUGCGAAUGGCUCAUUAAAUCAGUUAUGGUUUAUUUGAUGGUACCUUACUACUUGGAUAACCGUAGUAAUUCUAGAGCUAAUACAUGCAGGAGGUCCCGACUUCGGAAGGGAUGUAUUUAUUAGAUAAGAAACCAACCCGGCUUGCCGGUUGCGUGCUGAGUCACAAUAACUGCUCGAAUCGCAUGGCCUUGCGCCGGCGAUGGUUCAUUCAAAUUUCUGCCCUAUCAGCUUUCGAUGGUAGGAUCGAGGCCUACCAUGGCGUUUACGGGUAACGGAGAAUUAGGGUUCGAUUCCGGAGAGGGAGCCUGAGAAAUGGCUACCACAUCCAAGGAAGGCAGCAGGCGCGUAAAUUGCCCGAAUCCUGACACAGGGAGGUAGUGACAAGAAAUAACAAUACAGGGCUAUUUUAGUCUUGUAAUUGGAAUGAGUACAAUUUACAUCUCUUCACGAGGAUCAAUUGGAGGGCAAGUCUGGUGCCAGCAGCCGCGGUAAUUCCAGCUCCAAUAGCGUAUACUAAAGUUGUUGCAGUUAAAACGCUCGUAGUCGGAUUUCGGGGCGGGGCGACCGGUCUGCCGAUGGGUAUGCACUGGCCGCCGCGUCCUUCCUUCCGGAGACUGCGCCUACUCUUANCUGAGCGGGCGUGGGAGACGGAUCGUUUACUUUGAAAAAAUCAAGUGUUUCAAGCAGCAGCUCGCUCUUGCAUGGAUUACAUGGGAUAAUGAAAUAGACUUUGGUGCUAUUUUGUUGGUUUCAACACCGAAUAAUGAUUAACA
Molecule: ribosomal RNA, 783 nt
Filed under: uncultured eukaryote
Lineage: Eukaryota
Description: SSU rRNA
Rfam family: Eukaryotic small subunit ribosomal RNA
Source: RNAcentral